This is a long non-coding RNA of Poecilia latipinna (sailfin molly), 405 nucleotides long. RefSeq lists it as uncharacterized. Lineage: Eukaryota; Metazoa; Chordata; Actinopteri; Cyprinodontiformes; Poeciliidae. The record is from RefSeq and is a predicted model, not a curated record. The transcript has 2 exons.
CACCUUAAACCACUCUAUGAGAAAGAAACUAAAAUGGUGGGUGCUUGGGUUCGACAUCAAUGAGGUACACCAUUAUGUAGACAAUACCACUGACCUGGUUUGUAACAAAUAUGACCCAGAGAAAUGGAAAUUCAGGCAAAAUUACUCAGCUUCACUUUAUUAACUAAGGUGACAGGGAACCCUCACUGUUAAUCACCAGUUGAACUGUAAGCUGUGAACACUUUUAAGAUUUAGGGAAAACAAAACAAAAAAAAAAAAAACAAAUAAUUUUCACAUAAGGCAGCACAUAAGGCAGGCCAACUAAACAAUUAAUGUUCACAAGCAAUGUCCAAGUUAGUAUAUCGUCCUGAACAGUCAGUUCUACUCACGACCUCCAAAUGGUGGUGGGAAAAUGGGAAAAACCCG